UUGGGAUUUUUCCUGUACACAAUCAAUAGGACCCUUCAAGAACCUACUCCUUCAUGGCUAGUUCCUUGCUCAGUGAAAGACCUGCCUGAGGAGCUGGGUAGAUUUGAGAAAGUAACCACAUGCUUGACUUAAGGCUACCCCAGCUAUACAGAGACCCUGCAUUUUAUUCUCUAGAGAAGACUUGUAUCUUUCAGAGAAGCAGACUGGGAAGCAAACCAGGCAUUGUCAAUGCAGCAUCACCUUGCAGCUGGGAAGAAAUUUGAUGAGCUGAUUCCCAGUGACACAUCUUUUAAAAUACAGUUCUCCCAGCCUACAACAGAGAAAAUCAUUAAUUGCAUACAUUUUAUGUGAAUCAGAGCCUGCUUCAAGAUAUUUCAUAAACACUGUAAAGAAGCAAUGGGAAAUUGUUUCUAAUGUCCCAACCUUGCCUUGCUCUGUACUGUGACAAACUGACCUGAAGACCUAUUAUGUUCUCCAAAAAAAAAAAGGACAUCAAUUGCAGAGUUACUUGGUAUGUCACUCUUUCAUGAUGGUUAAAUUACAUAAAAAUCAAAUGCUCUUUGUCCUUGAGACACGACAGCUCCUUCAGCUUAAGGUAUCUUUAUGGCUGCUCUGAAGUAUACCUGAAGAUAUAUUUGAUCUGAAUUACUUUAGAGUCAUGGGUCACAAAGAGCACUUCAAUGCCUUCUUCACUUAGCUGCAUCAGCUGAUUAGUCACAGCCAAGACUUCUAUGAGAAGACCUGAUACUUCAUCUAAACAUCAGGAGGAUACUUUUAUAAGGGGUCUAAUAUGAAUGACAGGCCCAAACUAUAAUCAAAUGCAGAAAAAACCUUCACAAUUUUCAAAGAUAUUUGAAUCGAAGUAUUACUUUCUCAGUGUUUGUAUCUAAAAAAGCUUCACUCAUAAGGUUACAAAAAACUUAUUACAAAAUCCUAUAACAUAUUUUCCUUCUGAAAUUCAGACUUCAUGUCCUAGGAUUUACCUUAGAAAAUGAUAUUUCUUUGUCU
Molecule: long non-coding RNA, 1008 nt
Organism: Numida meleagris (helmeted guineafowl)
Lineage: Eukaryota; Metazoa; Chordata; Aves; Galliformes; Numididae
Source: Ensembl